Molecule: ribosomal RNA, 527 nt
Filed under: uncultured bacterium
Lineage: Bacteria
Description: bacterial SSU rRNA
Rfam family: Bacterial small subunit ribosomal RNA
Source: RNAcentral
UAGUCCACGCCGUAAACGAUGAGCACUAGAUUUUGGGGGGUAUUGACUCCUUCAGAAUCGCAGCUAACGCAUUAAGUGCUCCGCCUGGGGAGUACGGUCGCAAGACUAAAACUCAAAGGAAUUGACGGGGGCCCGCACAAGCGGUGGAUUAUGUGGUUUAAUUCAAAGCAACGCGAAGAACCUUACCUAGGCUUGAACUCCUGAGAAUUCCGGGUAAUGCCGGAAGUGCCCUUCGGGGAAUUCAGUGAGAGGUGCUGCAUGGCUGUCGUCAGCUCGUGUUGUGAAAUGUUGGGUUAAGUCUCGCAACGAGCGCAACCCCUAUCUUUAGUUGCCAGCAUUUAGUUGGGCACUCUAGAGAGACUGCCUGGGUUAACCAGGAGGAAGGUGGGGAUGACGUCAAGUCCUCAUGGCCCUUAUGUCUAGGGCUACACACGUAAUACAAUGGUAACAAACGAAAGGGACGCGAACUCGCGAGGGGAAGCUAAUCUACAAAACUUGUAAUCUCAGUCCGGAUUGGAGUCUGCAAC